This 23-nucleotide small nuclear RNA is filed under the name Arabidopsis thaliana (thale cress). Its description in RNAcentral is "snRNA_04756". The record is from RNAcentral. Lineage: Eukaryota; Viridiplantae; Streptophyta; Magnoliopsida; Brassicales; Brassicaceae.
UUCUCAACAUCACGAACCGUUUC